Molecule: long non-coding RNA, 2893 nt
Filed under: Ananas comosus (pineapple)
Lineage: Eukaryota; Viridiplantae; Streptophyta; Magnoliopsida; Poales; Bromeliaceae
Description: long non-coding RNA (ACOM_LNC003144)
Source: RNAcentral
UAGUAAGAAAACAAUAGUUUAGUAAUUUUUUUUGAGGAAAAAGAAAUAUAAGGUAGCAAAUGAAAAAAAAUCUAAAAUAUAAUGUAGGGAUUGAUUAAAACCAGUAAUUCAAUGGUGUCUUGUAGAGUGUGGGAAAUCUUAGUGUAGAUUAUAAUAUUAGAAAUAAUAAUGAAAGUGACAAAAUUAUUUAUUAAAAAAAUUAAAUGAAUGGUUGUUUCUUUACUGAAUUAGUUAUUCUUAUGAAAAGAUGUCUUUUUAUUUGAUGCAAAGAAAUGUGCCUUUUUAUGAAGAGAUACGCUUAGGAGUGUAAUGUGGGUCGUGUCAUGCCGGCACGGCCCACAAUACCCGGGCUGAAACGGGCCAAGGGUCAGCCCGGCCCGGAUUCAUAUUCGGGCUGUGUCACGCCCCAGAUGUCUCGUUCCCCGGGCACGUCGACAAAUCUGCUGUAUACAAACGAAUUUUCCUUGUAUACGAAGCGACAGCUGUACCUGUAGAUAUACAAUACUGCAAACAGUAGCAUAGAGCUGCUCGAAUAAACAAAAGCUAAACAAACUGAGUUUCAUAUACAUAGAUCAAAUCCAAAAUACAGAGUUACUCGCAUUGGCGAGUUAAGUAGGCUAUGUACAUAAACUCGAAACAAAACAUCUACCUGCAGUAGGGGGCCUCUAGCUCUGCUCGUCGGGUAGGGCUCUAACUUGCGACGCCCUUGCCUCGAUCCUGAUCCGCGGAAAGUGCAGCAGCCGAAACCUGUGGCUCUGCAAAAACAGGAGUAACAACUGGGCGUGAGAACUACUGUAAAAACAAGUAGUCCUCAGUGGGUACCGCCCAAAACAACAUCGGUCCACCCACUAAGUCUCCAGAAGGGAGCAAGAAUAGUCGGAAAAGCAGGAAGUAAACUCUACCGCUAUCAAUCACUAUACUAUCAUGCUCUACACUAACCAACUGUAGGAAAUGUCAAAUCUGACCCAAUCCAAUCGGGACUGUAAGCCUACCCGUCCCUGGGACUGUGAAUACACCCGUCCCUGCCCAGUUGCGACUAUCCAGCUCCAUCCACACUAACUGAUCCGUGGAGAGCAAGUCCAACCGGCAUGAGCGACACCAACGCGAAGCACAAAGCCCGUCUCCGGAGUGGCACUCGUGGGCAUGGACGAAGCUAUGUGGAGGCCCAAGGUGGCCAUGGCCCCCCUCAACUUUUCAAUAUUUGCUUAAUGGUCCUUCAAUUUUUUUUUUUUUUUUGUGUAUCAUGGAUAGAUUUGGCCCUCCUAGAUUUUCAAUAUUUACUUAAUAGCAUGGUGCCAACAUAACUCUCUCUCUUUCUCCUAAUCGAUAUACUCUUUUUAUGGAUGAAAAUAUAUUAAAAUCUAUUUUUUGUAAUAUAUUUCUCUACUCUAAAAAUUUUAUUUAAUAAUUUUUUAAAACUUUUAUUUAUCUUAGAUGAGCUCUUUUAUUUGACUAAAUCAAGAAUUGCACUAAAUUUAAUAGCUAUGUUAAUUUUAUUUACUAAAAAGCUAAAAAAUUACUAUUAGAUUUAGUAAAAUUUCUAAGUUAUUUUAAUGUAAUGAUAUAAAUAAAAUAAUUAGAAGUUAAACAUCUGAAAAUAAAAAAAAAUAAAGUUCAUACUUUUACAUUAUUUAUUUAAUUAAUAAUUUUUUAAUAAAAGUUUUUUAAUUAGGAAAAAUUUUGUUUAUUAUUUAUUACUAAAAUUUUUAUUUAAAUAUAUUUUGGCCCCCCUCAAGAUUGAAUCCUAGCUUCGUCCCUGCUCGUGGGAGCUACCCAACCGAGUAUGCACCGUAUCUCUGUCGAGCUCAAUCAGGCUCUCAAAAGCCAAAGUCCAGUAACCGACUCAAACUGGUCUAACAACCAACAGGUAACGUGCCCUCGGCACAAUCCGACGCCAAAAAAGUGAUACGGGUCCACCGUCAACCCCGACGGCACCCAACAGUCCGGAACAGCCUGAACGCUACUGUAAAAGUAUACUCGGCAUCCCGGCACAAGCGUAACCGAAAGCUAAACUAUCUGGAAUACUCACUAUGAGGAUACUGCUACAGUAUAAAAUAAUACAACGGCCCCUAUGGCUAAAUCAGGUAGUUUAAAUAUAUGACGAUCAUAAUCGCGAGUUUUCUCCUAAGUCUUAUCCAAGUCCAACAUGUAUAUAUAUAUAUAUAUAUAUAUCCAAAGAUAAUAACUCAGCUCCAAUUCAGAUUAUUAACCAUACUAAAUCAAUAAACCGAGCAAUUGCGCCACACAAGAUAAUUCCACAAUUACAUGUCGACUAUAUAGGCACUUAGGAGUAAACCGAUGAUUAACCCACCUUAAUCGCAAAUCCCCGACGGUGAAGAAGGUCACCGGAGUCCCUGUCAAGCUCGGCGCAGCUCCCCGAACCAGCGACAACACGCUCCAUGGGUCUAAACAUAGAAACCCAUAUUAAGCAUCAAUUCUGCCCAAAACAGCAGCAGCAGAAAGAAAUAGGGAUACGACCUAACAAACCUUCACCAAAUCCAGCAAAUAAGGGCUUCGUGGAUUCCUCUCGAAGUCCCGAAUCCAACGAACCAAGUCCCGUCGAAAUCCGACAUUCCUACGUCGAGUACGAGCCGAAACACUAACGGUCAACGCUGAAAAUCAGUAAAAUCAGCACGCGAGCUCAAAACCGUGCGUUCAAGUAAUCCAAGAAGGAAAGUUAGGUACCCACAUCGACAGCGAAUCCAGCGCCGGUGCGACGUCGAGGACGGCGAAAAUGCACCCUCGCCCAGCCUCCAUGCGACGUUACGGCGACAAACGUGCGCUCAAACGGCUCGGCGAUGCGACGUCGGCAACGAACGCUCCACCCAAGUUCCUCCUCCUCGCGUAUGGCUCCAGAGACAGAGAGGGAGGAAAUUUUAAUUAAGGAGGCAUG